RNAcentral lists this transfer RNA (96 nucleotides) under Dactylellina haptotyla CBS 200.50. It matches the Rfam family "tRNA". Rfam says of the family: Transfer RNA (tRNA) molecules are approximately 80 nucleotides in length. Their secondary structure includes four short double-helical elements and three loops (D, anti-codon, and T loops). Further hydrogen bonds mediate the characteristic L-shaped molecular structure. tRNAs have two regions of fundamental functional importance: the anti-codon, which is responsible for specific mRNA codon recognition, and the 3' end, to which the tRNAs corresponding amino acid is attached (by aminoacyl-tRNA synthetases). tRNAs cope with the degeneracy of the genetic code in two manners: having more than one tRNA (with a specific anti-codon) for a particular amino acid; and 'wobble' base-pairing, i.e. permitting non-standard base-pairing at the 3rd anti-codon position. The record is from Rfam by way of RNAcentral. Lineage: Eukaryota; Fungi; Ascomycota; Orbiliomycetes; Orbiliales; Orbiliaceae.
GGGGACAUGGCGCAGUGGUAGCGCGUCUGCUUUGCAUCUUCACAAUCGUGGAAUCAAUUAUGCAGAAGGUCUGGGGUUCGAAACCCCAUGUCUCCA